UUGUGUUGCAGAAACAAAAUCUCAUUCUCACUAUGUUCUCCAGUCUCAGUCUCGCUCCCCCCUCUCGAUUAAUCACUCAGUUCUCACUUCUCCAAUAAUUAAUCUCUUAAUCAGGCUCCCAAGAAAGGUGUUAAAACUCCAGUAGCAGCAAAGAAGAAGAAUAUCUGGAAAUCGUGGACUGAAGUGAAGUUGAUGCAAUGAUGCAACAUGCCAGGCAGCCAAGCAAGAUCACACUAAGACUGGGAGAUAUUGGUUUUUUUGCAAAGAUUGGAGCUUUUGGUGGUGGUGGAGGAGGAUUAGGAGCUGUUAGAUAUUCAAGUUCUGUUCCUAAAAUUCGUCCCAAAAUUCCUCAGUUACCAAAGAACGGAAGAAUCUUUACAGCAGCCUUUUUAGGCAUAGUUAUUUCUGGAGGGGCUUAUGCGAGUACUGUGGAUGAGGCAACUUUCUGUGGGUGGCUAUUUUCAGCAACAAAGCUUGUGAACCCAUUCUUUGCCUACCUCGAUGCAGAGACUGCUCAUCAUUUAGCUGUUGCAGCAGCAGCUCGUGGUUGGGUCCCAAGAGAGAAGAGGCCGGACCCAUCAAUAUUGGGGAUGGAUGUGUGGGGUCGGAGGUUCUCGAACCCUAUAGGUCUUUCUGCUGGUUUUGAUAAGAAUGCGGAGGCAGUUGAAGGUUUAUUAGGGAUGGGUUUUGGAUUCGUAGAGAUUGGCUCCGUAACCCCUGCUCCACAGGAUGGUAAUCCAAAGCCUCGAAUUUUUAGACUGCGAGAGGAAGGAGCUAUUAUAAAUAGGUGUGGAUUUAAUAGUGAAGGCAUUGUUGCUGUUGCAAAGAGAUUGGGUGCUCAGCAUGGUAAAAGGAAGCUGGCUGAAACUUCAAGCAUUGCACCUGUGUCCAGUGACGAAAUCCCGCAUGGAGGAAAAGCAGGUCCUGGCAUUCUGGGUGUCAAUCUUGGCAAGAAUAAGACUAGUGAAGAUGCUGCUGCUGACUAUGUUCAAGGAGUUCACACUUUGUCUCAGUACGCCGAUUACUUGGUUAUCAACAUUUCAUCACUAAAUACUCCAGGGUUGCGUAAGCUUCAAGGACGAAAGCAACUCCAGGAUCUUGUUAAAAAGGUUCAAGCUGCUCGUGACGAAAUGCAAUGGGGUGAGGAAGGCCCUCCUCCACUGCUUGUGAAAAUUGCUCCAGACUUGUCCAAGCUAGAUCUCGAAGAUAUUGCAGCAGUUGCUUUGACUCUCCGUUUGGAUGGAUUGAUCAUAACUAAUACAACCAUUGCAAGACCAGAUCCAGCUAGUAAGAACCCAGUUUCUGAAGAAACUGGUGGUUUAAGUGGGAAACCUCUAUUUAACCUGUCAACCAACGUGCUCAAGGACAUGUAUCUUCUGACAAGGUUCGGUGCAGUGUCUUUGGAAACUACAGAAUGCUAAUGUCGAAUUGUAAUAUCAGCUGUGAAACUAAGACAAAGGGAAGAUUCCUCUUAUUGGUUGUGGGGGAAUUAGCAAUGGCGAGGAUGCAUAUAAGAAGAUACGUGCUGGAGCAUCUCUAGUUCAGCUUUACACGGCUUUUGCCUACGAGGGACCAGCUCUCAUUCCCAAAAUGAAGGUUGAAUUGGCAGAGUGCUUAGAAAGGGAUGGAUUCAAGUCAAUUGCAGAAGCUAUUGGUGCAGAUUACAGGUAGUUUUGUAUCUUAGGAGAACUAGAGAAAAGAGCUUGUCCCUUUUUGAACAAUUCAAGGGCCAACACCCAUAAAUAUACCAAUACAACAUGAAUUGGUAGUCCUUUCUUAAAUUUAGGUUUUUUGCUAAAUUUCCUUUUCAAUGUAGUGACAAAAUUUUGACAUCCCUUCUGGGAUUCUGAAAUGUACUAUUAUUGAGUAAAUGUCAUAUGUCAGCUGCUUACUCAGGCUUUCUCAAACGACUCGACCCUCAGUGGCUUCAAAGUGAUCUUUCUCGUGUAAAUUAUUAUAUUUUCUGUGGACC
Papaver somniferum (opium poppy) is the source of this 1972-nucleotide RNA transcript. It is a transcript of the gene named dihydroorotate dehydrogenase (quinone), mitochondrial-like, with no coding region annotated. Lineage: Eukaryota; Viridiplantae; Streptophyta; Magnoliopsida; Ranunculales; Papaveraceae. The record is from RefSeq and is a predicted model, not a curated record. The transcript has 14 exons.